UGAUCGAUGAAGAACGCAGCUAGAUACGUUAAUCGGUGUAAUAUGCUAUAGCCAUAAGACAUCACUCGACUAUUCUAAUGCGCAAUGCAACUAGUCCUCUAAAGACUAGUUUCAUCUGAUUGAGAGUAUCAUGAAGUUUAAAUGAAAUGAAAUAGUUUUUUCAUUGAAAUUUGUAUUUGACUUAUAGUUGCUAAUAAUAUUUAAUAAAUAUUAUUAUUAUUAUUUAAGCAAUGAUUUGCGAUACUAAACAAGUAAGCUAUUUGUUUGGAUCGCUAAUAUGUGUUCAAAUAGAAACGAAACUGAAUGAUGCUUUUAAAUUAAAGGCUAUGUUUGAAGCAAUAAAUUUAAAAUCAUUUUAUAUAUGUAUAUAUAUAUGUAUCUCAGUCAGAUGAGAUUACCCGCUGAACUUAAGCAUAUA
This 418-nucleotide ribosomal RNA is filed under the name Acarapis dorsalis. Its description in RNAcentral is "eukaryotic LSU rRNA". The stretch from base 3 to 129 matches the Rfam family "5.8S ribosomal RNA", at positions 32 to 154 of the family's 154-position model. Lineage: Eukaryota; Metazoa; Arthropoda; Arachnida; Trombidiformes; Tarsonemidae. The record is from RNAcentral.